RNAcentral lists this ribosomal RNA (222 nucleotides) under Triticum aestivum (bread wheat). RNAcentral describes it as "partial small subunit ribosomal RNA". Lineage: Eukaryota; Viridiplantae; Streptophyta; Magnoliopsida; Poales; Poaceae. The record is from RNAcentral.
AUGAGCGCGCGAGGGCCACGGGUUCGCGCCCGCGGGAGGGUCGGAAGAACGGCCACUCUUAUCCAGACGAGUGUGAUAUUUGGCCUUGUCGACGCGCUCGAGGCAUUUUUUGGCCUCGAUGUGGCCAGCUUGUGUACGUGUACGUGUACGGGAGGGGUGCCGGGGACGCGGCUGAGCAGCGCCCCCUCAGUCAGUCAGCACGUCGAGGAUAAGGUGGGAUAA